UACGUAGGGGGCAAGCGUUGUCCGGAUUUAUUGGGCGUAAAGAGCGUGUAGGCGGCCAGAUAGGUCAGCUGUGAAAACUCGAGGCUCAACCUCGAGAUGUCGGCUGAAACCAUCCGGCUAGAGUCCGGAAGAGGAGAAUGGAAUUCCCGGUGUAGCGGUGAAAUGCGCAGAUAUCAGGAGGAACACCGGUGGCGAAGGCGGAUCUCUGGGCCUUACCUGACGCUGAGGCGCGAAAGCUAGGGGAGCAAACAGG
RNAcentral lists this ribosomal RNA (253 nucleotides) under uncultured bacterium. RNAcentral's name for it is "partial 16S ribosomal RNA". It matches the Rfam family "Bacterial small subunit ribosomal RNA", at positions 524 to 776 of the family's 1533-position model. The record is from RNAcentral.